Molecule: ribosomal RNA, 407 nt
Filed under: uncultured bacterium
Lineage: Bacteria
Description: partial 16S ribosomal RNA
Rfam family: Bacterial small subunit ribosomal RNA
Source: RNAcentral
GACGAACGCUGGCGGCGUGCCUAAUACAUGCAAGUAGAACGCAGUUGCGAACGGGUGAGUAACGCGUAGGUAACUGCCUCAUAGCGGGGGAUAACUAUUGGAAACGUUAGCUAAUACCGCAUACUGUGUGUUGGCCCUGCGUUGUAUUAGCUAGUUGGUGUGGUAAAGGCUGACCAAGGCGACGAUAAAUAGCCGACCUCAGAGGGGGAGCGGCGACAAUGAGACGGAGACACGGCCCUGACUCCUACGGGAGGCAGUCGUAGGGAAUCGUCGGAAAUGGACGGAAGUCUGACCAAGCAACGCAGCGUGAGUGAAGAAGGUUUACGGAUCGUAAAGCGCUGUAGUUAGAGAAGCGGUAACUAGCCAGAAAGGGACGGCUAACUACGUGCCAGCAGCCGCGGUAAGAC